GACGAACGCUGGCGGCGUGCUUAACACAUGCAAGUCGAACGAUGAAGAAAAGAAUUGAAGCUUCGGCAGAAAUUCAUUUCGGAUUAGUGGCAGACGGGUGAGUAACGCGUGAGCAACCUACCUCUUACAAAGGGAUAGCCUCGGGAAACCGGGAUUAAUACCAUAUAACAUUGCGACGAAGCAUUUCGAUGCAAUCAAAGCUACGGCGGUAAGAGAUGGGCUCGCGUCCCAUUAACCAGAUGGUGAGGUAACGGCUCACCAUAGUAACGAUGGGUAACCGGCCUGAGAGGGUGAACGGUCACACUGGAACUGAGACACGGUCCAGACUCCUACGGGAGGCAGCAGUGGGGAAUAUUGCAAAAUGGAGGGAACUCUGAUGCAGCGACGCCGCGUGAGUGAUGAAGGAAUUCGUUUCGUAAAACUCUGUUCUAUGGGAAGAAAAGGACUGUACCAUAGGAGAAAGCACCGGCUAAAUACGUG
This 480-nucleotide ribosomal RNA is filed under the name uncultured bacterium. RNAcentral's name for it is "partial 16S ribosomal RNA". It matches the Rfam family "Bacterial small subunit ribosomal RNA", at positions 28 to 507 of the family's 1533-position model. The record is from RNAcentral.